This 3790-nucleotide long non-coding RNA is filed under the name Marmota monax (woodchuck). The record is from RNAcentral. Lineage: Eukaryota; Metazoa; Chordata; Mammalia; Rodentia; Sciuridae.
GGGUGGACAUUGGCCGCGAGGCAAAAAACGCUGGCGCGAGUCCAGGACUCUCGAAGGGUGUUGAGUCUGGGGCCGCUGCUGCCUGCGCGGAGUUGGGGCACCCAGGCAACCAAGUACGAAGAGGAAAUGGAAAUGGGACUUCCAAGGAAGGAGACCCAAGAGGCUGUUCCCCAUAGUGGUUACCGUGGACGAUUUGGGCCUGGGUCCACUCCGGUGCGAUCUGGUCCCUUAGGGCUUCUGACUCUCCAUCGUUAGGUUGAGCAAGAAGUAGCUAGCACCUGAAGUCACCGCCAGCCCUGACCAUCAAGCAGCUGUUCCCAAAAGCCCAUGUCCUCACCAUCCAUGAGGAUGGUGAAUGAAGGGUGACUCUUGGGGAUCAAGGUGCUGGAGUAUGGAAGCAUGGACUACCAGUGCCUCAUUCAGAUCCGUUUCUGGAGCAAGAGCAAGAUGGUGUCAGAGAAUUCAAAGCCUAAAUUAAAACAGAUACAGUUAUUGGAUUGACCAAUGGAUGAACCUUGGCAUUGAGAAAGCUCAGAAAAAGUCCCCUGGACAGGAGGCCUCUGCAUUGUGUAUGUUUGUGACCAUACAGCAAGGGACUGGGGAUCAAAGCUGCCUGGUCCAGGCAUGUAGGUGCCCUGGCAGUGCCCGCUUCCUCACCUGGACACCUUCAGUGCCUGAAGCACCCCAUACUGAAGCCACUGUCAGAGCCUGAGACUCAGAGUAUGGGUCUCAGAGCCCUGGGCCCACCAGGGGGCGCUCUGCUGCUGGCCCUAGUGUGGGCCAGCACCCUUUGAGCUAAUUCUGGCCUGCAACCUCCCAGUAUGAGUAGGAGCACCUCUGGAGGCCUAAGCUCUUCACUCGCUUUCUGUGGCAAGGCAAAAGCAAAGGAGGAGACAGGAGCAGAACCUGCACUCAUCCGAUGGUCCAAGCCCAGCCUUGGCAGGCUGGCCUGCCAUGUGAGCAUGCUGUAUCCUGCCAGAGGAGCUCACGCUGGCUGUGUGGCUGGGUAGGGGUGGGCAGAGAGCAGCCGCCUGGGCAGGUCACUUCCUCUCUGAGCCCCCUUCUCCCAUCUGAGACUCAUCUAACUCCAGUGAAUGGUGGCUCUUUCCAAAUUGUGAUGUCACCUUGUAGCCCAGGGUCUGCCUUUUUGUUAGGUGUGACCAGCUUCACAUCAUUCCCAUUCCCGGGACCCCUCCCCUGCCCUCUUCUGCUCACACUUUGCCAGGCCCCCCAAUAGGGCUCUUGCAGCAAAGAAGCACAGAAAGCAGCCCCGGCUCACCCCAGCUGCAGUGCCCAGUGUGGCUCCCAGGACUUCCUUCCACCUGAAGGCCUGGCUGCAGUCAGGGAAGAGAGGCAGUGGAGGGGCAGCCCUAGGAAGCAGGGGAUGGGAGACCCAGAGCGAUGACAUGUUUAAAGGCAUGAGAUUGCUUCCAAGAAAAAUGACGUGUGAGAUUGUAAAUGUGUGUCACAGGGCACUGCGGGUGUUACAAAGCUCCCUUCCAGCCAGAGUGGAGCUCUGUCACAUUGGCCACCCAGUGAGUCCCUGCUGAAGGAGGCAGCUAGCCAGCCAAGGAGCAGAGAGCUCCCUGGACCCCUGGGCCAUACUGGGUGUGAGGGGUUCUGGCAAGGAUUCAUGCACUCAGGAAGAGCUUUGCUUUCUUUAGUGGUGGUGGGAUAGGGUUAGAGAGCUGAGUGAGGGGAGCUGCCUAACCAAAUUCCCACUUGAAGCCCUGGCCCAGCUCCAAGCAAGAACAUAUCAGACACCCCACGGAACCAGAGCAUGUGGGUGACUGGGCCCAGGGUACGUGGGUGGCAGGGCUUGUGCCCAGUGUAGGGUAAUGCCAGAGCUACCUGAGGGCCUGGGAGACCACCCCAGCUCUCAACUGCCCAUCCCUGGGGAGAUGCCACCACUGCACUCACCCUAAGUGGGCCCCAGUAGACCCUCCUUGCCCUGUGAGCCUCAGGCUUCACACCUCGUCAGGCCACCAUUGCCCAGGAAUUGCCCGCUCCACCCUACCCACAGAAGAGGUGGGCCUUCCUCAGAGCAGGACAAGCUUGAAGCAGUUCCCUCUCCCUCUCAGGCCCUUAAGGUGCUUGUGGAACCCAGACUUCAGAUAGGCCCAGGGUGCUGCAUGCCCCUGCUCACUUCUACCUCACCCAGCCUACCCUGAGCACCCUUGUCCACUGGGAACACUGUGGCUUGUGGGCCCUCGGUAUCUGCCCAGCUGUCGCCAGUGGCCCACACCAGGGUGGAAGGCAGCUGCUCCUUGGAGGUGUAGCCGUACCUGCACAGCCAGUUCCAGUCCCUGAAGGUAGGUGCAGAGAGCAGAAAGCUGAGGGAAGGGGCCGUGGGGCUGCACCAGGGGAGACAACUGUUGCAAUUUUAGGUUUUUCUGAUGCUGGACAGAAUGGGGGACCCAUCGGGGGCCACUGAGAAGGCAGAAGUGAAUUCUCAGGGGAGAGGUAUUGACAGGCACCUGCCAGGCUACCUCCGUGGGAUCUAAACUGAGCCCCAGAGGUUUGGCAGAAUUCACCAAAGGUACUUGGAAAGCUAGGGAGAAAAACAGCCCCUGCUCCGCCACGUGCCGGGGUUUCCCUGGCUCUGGGCAGUGUGUGAAGGGGCUUUUCUCCAGGCAGACAGACUCUCCUCAUCUAGUGUUCUAUGCUCUGGCUGAUGGCUAACUGCCCCCCUUAUUUCUGUUGGAGCCAUGGCCUUCCUUGGAUGGGAGGCCUGCCAUCCCCCACUUCAAUCAUCCAGGCCUCUGAAGUCAUCCAAAUAAGGGGGCAGGGGGCUGGACAAGAUCCACUGGGUCCACGGUCAAGAGCAAAGUUCCAUUCAGAUCCUAGAUAUGCAGCCACAGCUGCUCAGCUAAUCCUGACUCAACCAGCUUGCAGGCCAGAGCCCCUGAGGAGAGGAGAACCCCAUGACCAUUAUUCCUGCUGCGCAGGGCCCCUUACCAAGGGACCACCUGCUGGAAGGCCAUCAGACCUUCAGGGACCAGGGGACACUGGCUCUGGCCUACUUCCAAGGACCCACAACAUCCCCUGGGCCCUCCAGUGAGAACACAGGCUUGUGGGGGCGGCUGAUCUCUGCAGUCGGAGACUCCUCACCGUGGGUCCCCAAGUCCGUCUCGUGGUCAUUGCAGGAAUAGACACUCAGCAGCUGGCAGACUCCCCAGGAUGUGAGGGAGAGUGAGCAUGGGUAAGGCCAGGCUGGUGUGUCCCUGCCCACCAUGCCUGGCAUUGGGAGCAGGGGAGCAAGGCCCCGAGGGCACAGCCCCAGGCUUGCUGAAGGGAGGGAGGAGCCCCCACAGUGAAUCCUGCUCCUGAAAGGAAAACUGGUGGGAGUGGACACCCCCACCUGAGUCCUCCACACUUCCAGCCUUGGAGACCCCUGCCCCUGAGGGUUUGGAUUCAGUAUCUGAGGAUGACAGCCAGGGCAUCUCGGAGAGGCUGUGGGGCCUGGUCAGUUCACACUUUGCAUGAGCCCCGCGGCAUUUGGGCCCACCAGGACCCCAGGCAGGGGAGGGCCGCUGCCUCCCUUGGUCAGGCCCACCACACAUCUCUUCCAAGCCUGUCUGGAUUCUGGACAGCAUAGGGCAACCGUGGAGGCAGCGUGGGCCAGGAGGCUCCUGUGACCCCAGCAAUGGGCCCCUGUCCGAAGCCAGGAUUCCCUGUUGGACAGAAGCUCAGAGAGUGAAGGAAAGAAAAAGAAUGAAAGAGAAUUAUCAUCAUCAUCAUCAUCAUCAUCAUCGGAGAGACCGACAAAAAGGGGCCAAGUGUGGGAGGA